ACCCUGUAGAACCGAAUUUGUGUGAGUUCAGACAGUCACAAGUACGUCUCUACAGGAAU
This 59-nucleotide microRNA precursor is filed under the name Tetraodon nigroviridis (spotted green pufferfish). Its description in RNAcentral is "Tni-Mir-10-P1d1-v2_pre stem-loop". Lineage: Eukaryota; Metazoa; Chordata; Actinopteri; Tetraodontiformes; Tetraodontidae. The record is from RNAcentral.